RNAcentral lists this transfer RNA (73 nucleotides) under Ailuropoda melanoleuca (giant panda). It matches the Rfam family "tRNA". Rfam says of the family: Transfer RNA (tRNA) molecules are approximately 80 nucleotides in length. Their secondary structure includes four short double-helical elements and three loops (D, anti-codon, and T loops). Lineage: Eukaryota; Metazoa; Chordata; Mammalia; Carnivora; Ursidae. The record is from Rfam by way of RNAcentral.
GCCUGGCUGGCUCAGUUGGUGGAGCAUGCGAUUCUUGAUCUCAGGAUUGUGGGUUCAAGCUCCACAUUGGGUA